CCUACGGGAGGCAGCAGUGAGGAAUAUUGGUCAAUGGACGAGAGUCUGAACCAGCCAUGUAGCGUGAAGGAUGACUGCCCUAGGGGUUGUAAACUUCUUUUAUAUGGGAAUAAAACGUUCCACGUGUGGGCUUUUGUAUGUACCAUAUGAAUAAGGAUCGGCUAACUACGUUCCAGCAGCCGCGGUAAUACGGAGGAUCCGAGCGUUAUCCGGAUUUAAUGGGUGUAAAGGGAGCGUAGGUGGAUUGUUAAGUCAGUUGUGAAAGUUUGCGGCUCAACCGUAGAAUUGCAGUUGAAACUGGCAGUCUUGAGUACAGUAGAGGUGGGUGGAAUUCGAGGUGUAGCGGUGAAAUGCGUAGAUAUCACGAAGAACUCCGAUGGCGGAGGCAGUCCACUGGACUGCAACUGACACUGAGGCUCGAAAGUGUGGGUAUCAAACAGGAUUAGAUACCCUUGUAGUC
Molecule: ribosomal RNA, 460 nt
Filed under: uncultured bacterium
Lineage: Bacteria
Description: partial 16S ribosomal RNA
Rfam family: Bacterial small subunit ribosomal RNA
Source: RNAcentral